GCCUUGGCACUAAUGACUUGUAGAGCCAAAGAACUUUUCGCUGUGGAAGGCUGACCUCCACCGGGUAAGAAGUUCACAUGGGCUACAUAGAGCAUCUCUGGUCUCGGCCCAUGGGAUGCCAGUGGCCCUGCCCCCACCAGGCUGUGACAACCAGAACUACCUCCAGACUUUGGUCCCACUGAGAACCAUUGCCGCAGAUACAGAGGCAAGAUGCACAUCAAGCUAUAGGGACUUUUAGUGAAGCUCACUUCACAUACAGUGCUGAGAAAAGAGCUGACAGUAUAACAACAAAUGCCAAUAAAAUACUGCAUAACUGCCUUAUUACACCUUACCCAAAGGAACCCUGGGGAUCUAAUUGAAAACCGGGAACCAAGAUGACUUUGAUGUUCCUGAUCAGUUCCUAUCCUGAUGGGUCCCAAGAUGGGCAUCUGCAGCUCGGCUUCUUCUGUAAUGGCCCUGGAUAGAUUGACAGGAUCCAAUCUCAUCUCUAUCUAGAAGAGCUGGAGAAGACUGACACGAUUUAGGAAAGAACAGGAGAAAUGUACAGGAAACAGGAACUAGAAGAACAGGAUUAAAUGUUAAUCUGUUUUCCUGAAAGAAAGAAAACCCCCAAAAAUGAUUUCAUGCAGAAAGGGAGGAAGACGGCUAACAGCUGAAGUGAUUUCCAGGUACCAUAGAUCUCAGACAUGUGAUCUUUGAAGAAAACCAGAAGGGAAGGCUACUAUUUAGCCCUAAACAGUCCUUCUUCCCCUUCUUCAAGGCAAUGAAGUUAUCCGCUGGCCGAGAGCCUCGCAAAAUGAACACAAAUAUGUCACAAUCCCCA
Molecule: long non-coding RNA, 823 nt
Filed under: Fukomys damarensis (Damara mole-rat)
Lineage: Eukaryota; Metazoa; Chordata; Mammalia; Rodentia; Bathyergidae
Description: lncRNA (ENSFDAG00000029890.1)
Source: RNAcentral